UACGUAGGGUGCGAGCGUUAAUCGGAAUUACUGGGCGUAAAGCGUGCGCAGGCGGUUUUGUAAGCCAGAUGUGAAAUCCCCGGGCUCAACCUGGGAAUGGCAUUUGGGACUGCAAGGCUGGAGUGUGGCAGAGGAGACUGGAAUUCCCGGUGUAGCAGUGAAAUGCGUAGAUAUCGGGAGGAAUACCGAUGGCGAAGGCAGGUCGUCUGGGCUGACACUGACGCUCAUGCACGAAAGCGUGGGGAGCAAACAGG
RNAcentral lists this ribosomal RNA (254 nucleotides) under uncultured bacterium. RNAcentral's name for it is "partial 16S ribosomal RNA". It matches the Rfam family "Bacterial small subunit ribosomal RNA", at positions 524 to 776 of the family's 1533-position model. The record is from RNAcentral.